CGCAAUGGGCGAAAGUCUGACGGAGCGACGCCGCGUGAUUGAUGAAGUCCCUCUGGGACGUAAAGAUCUUUUAUGAGCUACUAAGUUUAUUGAAGAGCUCAUGAAUAAGGGGUUGCUAAACUCGUGCCAGCAGCAGCGGUAAUACGAGUGCCCCAAGCGUUAUCCGGAAUUACUGGGCGUAAAGGGUGUGUAGGUGGUUGUGUUAGUCUUUUGUUAAAUUCUUCGGCUUAACCGGGGACAUGCAAAGGAAACGGCACUGACUAGAAGAUACGAGGGGUCUGUGGAACUCAUGGAGUAGGGGUGAAAUCCGUUGAUAUCAUGGGGAACACCAAAAGCGAAGGCAGCAGACUGGCGUAUUCUUGACACUGAAACACGAAAGCGU
RNAcentral lists this ribosomal RNA (382 nucleotides) under uncultured organism. RNAcentral's name for it is "bacterial SSU rRNA". It matches the Rfam family "Bacterial small subunit ribosomal RNA", at positions 367 to 762 of the family's 1533-position model. The record is from RNAcentral.